CGCCCAACAGCUAGCCCACCCAUCAACCCCAAAUUUACCCUAUUUAUACCCCCAAACACACCACCACCCAACAAACAAACCAUUUUUCCACCUAAGUACGGGCGACGAAAAAGGAUUUAGGAGCAACAGAGAAAGUACCGCARGGGAAAGCUGAAAGAGUAAUGAAACAACCCAGUAAAGCACUAAAAAGCAGAGAACACCUCUCGUACCUUUUGCAUCAUGAUUUAGCCAGUAAAUAUUAAGCAAAAAGCAUUAUAGUUUAACUCCCCGAAACUAAGCGAGCUACUCCAAGGCAGCCUAAUUUAUAGGGCCACCCCGUCUCUGUGGCAAAAGAGUGGGAUGAACUUUGAGUAGAGGUGAUAGACCUACCGAGCCUAGUUAUAGCUGGUUGCCUGAAAACUGAAUAAAAGUUCAGCCCUUUAAAUUCUCCCUCCCUGUUGGCUCAAAACCUAAACAUCGGACAAAAGAAAUUAAAGGAGUUAGUCAAAGGGGGUACAGCCCCUUUGAAACAAGACACAACUUUACAAGGAGGAUAAAGAUCACAACAAACUUAAAGGUGAAUGUCUUAGUGGGCCUAAAAGCAGCCAUCUAUUCAGAAAGCGUUAAAGCUCGAGCAUACACAACCAACCUACCAAUACAGACAGCACAAUCUCACCCCCCUUAAACCUACCAGGCCGUUCCAUAAAAAACAUGGAAGCGUUUAUGCUAAAAUGAGUAAUAAGAAGAUCCCUUUCUCUCCCCGCACAAGUGUAAGUCGGAACGAACCAUUCACCGACCAUUAACGGCCCCA
This 790-nucleotide ribosomal RNA is filed under the name Coptodon cf. nyongana 'Dja'. RNAcentral describes it as "partial 16S ribosomal RNA". The stretch from base 188 to 790 matches the Rfam family "Bacterial large subunit ribosomal RNA", at positions 568 to 1393 of the family's 2925-position model. The record is from RNAcentral. Lineage: Eukaryota; Metazoa; Chordata; Actinopteri; Cichliformes; Cichlidae.